ACGCCGAGGAGGCCCCGCUCUCCUCCCGCAACUUUGCCGGCAGAGUGGGCCGGCCGCCGCGCGGGAGGGCUCUGCCGUUACGGGGAGGACGGAGGGAGGGUCGGCUCGGUCCCGGACCCCGAACCCAAUCCGUCGAUGGACUUGGAUGACCUGGUGUCUGGAUUUCCACCAACAGCACUUCAAACACAGGAGCCGAGAAAGUGGACUGUGGAGAUGAUCCAAGGAUGCAGGUGAGGCAACUGAGGCCCCGGAGAAGUGAAGUGACUUGCCC
Molecule: long non-coding RNA, 271 nt
Organism: Ornithorhynchus anatinus (platypus)
Lineage: Eukaryota; Metazoa; Chordata; Mammalia; Monotremata; Ornithorhynchidae
Exons: 3
Source: RefSeq, a predicted model, not a curated record